UUUUUACUUGAUCAGUCUGAAUUGGUCUGACUUUUACUUGACAUUACUCGACCCCAGUCUGAACCAUACUUGACUGUACUGAAUCGUACUUGACCCUUAUCUUUGCCGUUGAAAAUAGUCUGAACUAUUACUCGACCAGUCUGAAACAGUCUUAACCAUUCUCGACAUGUACUCGAUCUAUUUUUCCAGUCUAAACCAUACUUAACCAAAGGUCUGAACAAUACUCGACCAGUCUGAACCAGACCAAAAACCCUCUACUUUUUUAACUGUUAAAAUAAAAUUCUUUUUAACUGACAUAUAUAACAACAGCC
Molecule: long non-coding RNA, 311 nt
Filed under: Mytilus galloprovincialis (Mediterranean mussel)
Lineage: Eukaryota; Metazoa; Mollusca; Bivalvia; Mytilida; Mytilidae
Source: RNAcentral